UGUUUUUUGAUCCGUCAUGGAAAUAAAAUUGCCAAAAAAAAGAUAAGCUAUGAAGGAAAACCACUGGAGAUUUGGUGCAGAGUGGAGCUUGGUGCUGUCACAUUCUCAGACUCAGCUGAGAGAUGUCCACCCCAGACCCUCCCAUGGGAGGGACGCCUCGGCCGGGCCCCUCCCCAGGACCGGGGCCUUCUCCAGGAGCAAUGAUGGGCCCCAGCCCUUCCCCGGGCUCUGCUCAUAGCAUGAUGGGACCCAGCCCAGGUCCCCCAGCCUCUGGGCACUCCCACCCACAACAGGGGCCCUCAGUAUAUCCUCAGGAGAAUAUGCAUCAGAUGCACAAACCUAUGGAAGGCAUGCAUGAGAAGGGCAUGUCUGAUGACCCUCGCUAUGGACCAAU
Molecule: long non-coding RNA, 394 nt
Organism: Salvelinus sp. IW2-2015
Lineage: Eukaryota; Metazoa; Chordata; Actinopteri; Salmoniformes; Salmonidae
Source: RefSeq, a predicted model, not a curated record